Molecule: ribosomal RNA, 465 nt
Filed under: uncultured bacterium
Lineage: Bacteria
Description: partial 16S ribosomal RNA
Rfam family: Bacterial small subunit ribosomal RNA
Source: RNAcentral
CCUACGGGAGGCAGCAGUGGGGAAUAUUGCGCAAUGGGCGAAAGCCUGACGCAGCGACGCCGCGUGAGGGAUGAAGGUCUUCGGAUCGUAAACCGCUGUCAGCAGGGAAGAACGGUCACAGUGCGAAUCAGCAGUGAAUUGACGGUACCUGCAAAGGAAGCACCGGCUAACUCCGUGCCAGCAGCCGCGGUAAUACGGAGGGUGCGAGCGUUAAUCGGAAUUACUGGGCGUAAAGCGGUCGUAGGCGGUAUGUCAAGUCAAGGGGGAAAUCCCCGCGCUCAACGCGGGAACUGCAUUUGAUACUGGCAAACUGGAGUGUGUGAGAGGAUAGUGGAAUUCCAGGUGUAGGAGUGAAAUCCGUAGAUAUAUGGAGGAACAUCAGGGGCGAAGGCGACUAUCUGGCACAUAACUGACGCUGAGGAGCGAAAGCGUGGGUAGCAAACAGGAUUAGAUACCCGUGUAGUC